RNAcentral lists this unclassified non-coding RNA (1473 nucleotides) under uncultured fungus. Its description in RNAcentral is "sequence contains 18S rRNA gene, ITS1, 5.8S rRNA gene, ITS2, 28S rRNA gene". The stretch from base 433 to 1473 matches the Rfam family "Eukaryotic large subunit ribosomal RNA", at positions 1 to 961 of the family's 3401-position model. Lineage: Eukaryota; Fungi. The record is from RNAcentral.
GGAAGGAUCAUUACACUAAUUUUAAAACUUUUAACACUUGUCGAUGAGUUCCUUUGUUCUCAUUAUAUACCCCAUUUUCUUAUUAUAAAACUGUUACUUUGAAAACUAUUACAAACUGAAAUUAAAAAUAAACCUCCAGGCGGUGGAUACCUUGGUUACCAUAACGAUGAAGAACGCAGCAAAAUGCGAUAGUAAUUGCGAUUUGCAGAAUUCAGUGAAUCAUCAUAACUUUGAAUGCUACCUGCGGUAUUGGGUGUUCCCUAAUGCCGUACCUCUUUGAGAAUCGUUUACAAAACUUCUGAAAGUCAAUGGUUGUCUUUCUAAAUGAAUUGCUUUUUGUCAUAGAGCCAAGUUUUGAUAGUUCAUUUUGUGAAUUAUGAAUGUUGAAGAAACAACCGCUUUUGAUCAGAAAGGUACCCCAAUCUUUUUAUAAGAUCUCAAAUGAGGUAAGACUACCCUCUGAGUUUAAGCAUAUACGUAAGAGGAGGAAAGAAACUAAAAAGGAUUCUCUUAGUAACGGCGAGUGAAGAGAGAAGUGCUCAACCCGAAAAUCGAAAUAAGAUUAUUAUUUUGAAUUGUGGGUAUGCAAGGUAAAUUUCGGCGUGUGGCCCGUGCUAAAGUCUGUUGGAAAGCAGCUGACAAAGAGGGUGACAACCCCGUACAUAGCAUGGAGUCCGCCGUUUAACGAAAUACCUUUGUCGAGUCGGGCUGCUUGGGAAUGCAGUCUUAAAGGGUGGUAAAUUCCAUCCAAGGCUAAAUAUAUAUGGUAAACCGAUAGCAUACAAGUACCGUAAGGGAAAGGUGAAAAGAACUUUGAAGAGAGAGUUAAAAGUACUUGAAACCGCUUGGAGUAACGGGAUAAAAACUGUUGGAUCGGGUUGCUACUGUUCUAAUGAGUGGUUGUUGUUUGCUGGAUUUCCUUCGUGCCCGUUUGGGUUGAGGUUUUCCUUUAGAUAAAGACUGUUUGUUAGUGAAUGUAAGCGUGAGUGUGUGUCACUUGAUGUUUUGAUUAAGAGAAAUAUGGUAGUUGAAAGGUAGAGUGGUUUCCGUACCUUGGUGCGUGAAAACUUGAUAGUCACUACUGUUUUGGAAAUCUUGAAUGAGACAUGAUUGUGACCAUAGAUGGUUUUUAUUCACCCGUCUUGAAACACGGACCAAGGAGUCUACCUAACACGCGAGUCGUAGAGUGUUUAAAACUUGAAGGCGAAAUGAAAGUGUAGGGCUAAUCUUCGGAUUGGCUUUAGAUAUUCAAUGGCUUUUUGUCAUUUCCAUAUCUUCCCGGCUGCGUCUUUGUAUGCAGUUCGAGGCCGAGCGCGUUGGGUAGGACCCGAAAGAUGGUGAACUAUGCCUGGGCAGGGUGAAGCCAGGGGAAACUCUGGUGGAAGCUCGCAGCGAUACUGACGUGCAAAUCGUUCGUCAGACCUGGGUAUAGGGGCGAAAGACUAAUCGAACCGUCUAGUAGCUGGUUCCCUC